CCGGUGCGCCCCCGGCGGCCC
This 21-nucleotide small nuclear RNA is filed under the name Arabidopsis thaliana (thale cress). RNAcentral's name for it is "snRNA_00642". Lineage: Eukaryota; Viridiplantae; Streptophyta; Magnoliopsida; Brassicales; Brassicaceae. The record is from RNAcentral.